Molecule: ribosomal RNA, 2929 nt
Filed under: Bacillus velezensis
Lineage: Bacteria; Bacillati; Bacillota; Bacilli; Caryophanales; Bacillaceae
Description: 23S ribosomal RNA
Rfam family: Bacterial large subunit ribosomal RNA
Source: RNAcentral
GGUUAAGUUAGAAAGGGCGCACGGUGGAUGCCUUGGCACUAGGAGCCGAUGAAGGACGGGACGAACACCGAUAUGCUUCGGGGAGCUGUAAGCAAGCUUUGAUCCGGAGAUUUCCGAAUGGGGAAACCCACCACUCGUAAUGGAGUGGUAUCCAUAUCUGAAUACAUAGGAUAUGAGAAGGCAGACCCGGGGAACUGAAACAUCUAAGUACCCGGAGGAAGAGAAAGCAAAUGCGAUUCCCUGAGUAGCGGCGAGCGAAACGGGACCAGCCCAAACCAAGAGGCUUGCCUCUUGGGGUUGUAGGACACUCUGUACGGAGUUACAAAGGAACGAGGUAGAUGAAGAGGUCUGGAAAGGCCCGCCAUAGAAGGUAACAGCCCUGUAGUCAAAACUUCGUUCUCUCCUGAGUGGAUCCUGAGUACGGCGGAACACGUGAAAUUCCGUCGGAAUCCGGGAGGACCAUCUCCCAAGGCUAAAUACUCCCUAGUGACCGAUAGUGAACCAGUACCGUGAGGGAAAGGUGAAAAGCACCCCGGAAGGGGAGUGAAAGAGAUCCUGAAACCGUGUGCCUACAAGUAGUCAGAGCCCGUUAACGGGUGAUGGCGUGCCUUUUGUAGAAUGAACCGGCGAGUUACGAUCCCGUGCAAGGUUAAGCAGAAGAUGCGGAGCCGCAGCGAAAGCGAGUCUGAAUAGGGCGAAUUGAGUACGUGGUCGUAGACCCGAAACCAGGUGAUCUACCCAUGUCCAGGGUGAAGUUCAGGUAACACUGAAUGGAGGCCCGAACCCACGCACGUUGAAAAGUGCGGGGAUGAGGUGUGGGUAGGGGUGAAAUGCCAAUCGAACCUGGAGAUAGCUGGUUCUCUCCGAAAUAGCUUUAGGGCUAGCCUCAAGGUAAGAGUCUCGGAGGUAGAGCACUGAUUGGACUAGGGGCCCCUACCGGGUUACCGAAUUCAGUCAAACUCCGAAUGCCGAUGACUUAUCCUUGGGAGUCAGACUGCGAGUGAUAAGAUCCGUAGUCGAAAGGGAAACAGCCCAGACCGCCAGCUAAGGUCCCAAAGUAUACGUUAAGUGGAAAAGGAUGUGGAGUUGCUUAGACAACCAGGAUGUUGGCUUAGAAGCAGCCACCAUUUAAAGAGUGCGUAAUAGCUCACUGGUCGAGUGACUCUGCGCCGAAAAUGUACCGGGGCUAAACGUAUCACCGAAGCUGCGGACUGUUCUUCGAACAGUGGUAGGAGAGCGUUCUAAGGGCUGUGAAGCAAGACCGGAAGGACUUGUGGAGCGCUUAGAAGUGAGAAUGCCGGUAUGAGUAGCGAAAGAGGGGUGAGAAUCCCCUCCACCGAAUGCCUAAGGUUUCCUGAGGAAGGCUCGUCCGCUCAGGGUUAGUCGGGACCUAAGCCGAGGCCGAAAGGCGUAGGCGAUGGAUAACAGGUUGAUAUUCCUGUACCACCUCCUCACCAUUUGAGCAAUGGGGGACGCAGGAGGAUAGGGUAAGCGCGGUAUUGGAUAUCCGCGUCCAAGCAGUUAGGCUGGGAAAUAGGCAAAUCCGUUUCCCGUGAAGGCUGAGCUGUGAUGGCGAGCGAAUUAUAGUAGCGAAGUUCCUGAUUCCACACUGCCAAGAAAAGCCUCUAGCGAGGUGAGAGGUGCCCGUACCGCAAACCGACACAGGUAGGCGAGGAGAGAAUCCUAAGGUGAUCGAGAGAACUCUCGUUAAGGAACUCGGCAAAAUGACCCCGUAACUUCGGGAGAAGGGGUGCUCUGUUAGGGUGCAAGCCCGAGAGAGCCGCAGUGAAUAGGCCCAGGCGACUGUUUAGCAAAAACACAGGUCUCUGCGAAGCCGUAAGGCGAAGUAUAGGGGCUGACGCCUGCCCGGUGCUGGAAGGUUAAGAGGAGCGCUUAGCGUAAGCGAAGGUGCGAAUUGAAGCCCCAGUAAACGGCGGCCGUAACUAUAACGGUCCUAAGGUAGCGAAAUUCCUUGUCGGGUAAGUUCCGACCCGCACGAAAGGCGCAACGAUCUGGGCACUGUCUCAACGAGAGACUCGGUGAAAUUAUAGUACCUGUGAAGAUGCAGGUUACCCGCGACAGGACGGAAAGACCCCGUGGAGCUUUACUGCAGCCUGAUAUUGAAUGUUGGUACAGCUUGUACAGGAUAGGUAGGAGCCUUGGAAACCGGAGCGCCAGCUUCGGUGGAGGCAUCGGUGGGAUACUACCCUGGCUGUAUUGACCUUCUAACCCGCCGCCCUUAUCGGGCGGGGAGACAGUGUCAGGUGGGCAGUUUGACUGGGGCGGUCGCCUCCUAAAAGGUAACGGAGGCGCCCAAAGGUUCCCUCAGAAUGGUUGGAAAUCAUUCGCAGAGUGUAAAGGCACAAGGGAGCUUGACUGCGAGACCUACAAGUCGAGCAGGGACGAAAGUCGGGCUUAGUGAUCCGGUGGUUCCGCAUGGAAGGGCCAUCGCUCAACGGAUAAAAGCUACCCCGGGGAUAACAGGCUUAUCUCCCCCAAGAGUCCACAUCGACGGGGAGGUUUGGCACCUCGAUGUCGGCUCAUCGCAUCCUGGGGCUGUAGUCGGUCCCAAGGGUUGGGCUGUUCGCCCAUUAAAGCGGUACGCGAGCUGGGUUCAGAACGUCGUGAGACAGUUCGGUCCCUAUCCGUCGCGGGCGCAGGAAAUUUGAGAGGAGCUGUCCUUAGUACGAGAGGACCGGGAUGGACGCACCGCUGGUGUACCAGUUGUUCUGCCAAGGGCAUCGCUGGGUAGCUAUGUGCGGACGGGAUAAGUGCUGAAAGCAUCUAAGCAUGAAGCCCCCCUCAAGAUGAGAUUUCCCAUUCCGCAAGGAAGUAAGAUCCCUGAAAGAUGAUCAGGUUGAUAGGUCUGAGGUGGAAGUGUGGCGACACAUGGAGCUGACAGAUACUAAUCGAUCGAGGACUUAACCAA